Molecule: ribosomal RNA, 326 nt
Filed under: uncultured eukaryote
Lineage: Eukaryota
Description: partial 18S ribosomal RNA
Rfam family: Eukaryotic small subunit ribosomal RNA
Source: RNAcentral
CCCUUAGAUGUUCUGGGAUGCACGCGCGUUACACUGAUUCGUUCAACGAGUUUAUGACCUUGCCUGAUGAGGUGGGGGAAUCUUUUCAAAUCGCAUCGUGAUGGGGAUAGAGUAUUGUAACUGUUAGUCUUCAACGAGGAAUUCCUAGUAAGUACGUGUCAUCAGCUCGUACUGAUUAUGUCCCUGCCCUUUGUACACACCGCCCGUCGCUCCUACCGAUUGAGUGUUCAGGUGAAUAGUAUGGACUGCAUCAGUGUUCGGUCUCCGAAUGUUGACGCGAGAAAUUCUGUGAAUCUUAUUGCUUAGAGGAAGGAGAAGUCGUAACA